CGCGGGGUAGAGCAGUUCGGUAGCUCGUCGGGCUCAUAACCCGGAGGUCGCAGGUUCAAAUCCUGCCCCCGCAACCA
RNAcentral lists this transfer RNA (77 nucleotides) under Planomicrobium okeanokoites. RNAcentral's name for it is "tRNA-fMet (CAT) (tRNA-fMet-CAT-1 1 to 3)". It matches the Rfam family "tRNA". From Rfam's summary of the family: Transfer RNA (tRNA) molecules are approximately 80 nucleotides in length. Their secondary structure includes four short double-helical elements and three loops (D, anti-codon, and T loops). Further hydrogen bonds mediate the characteristic L-shaped molecular structure. tRNAs have two regions of fundamental functional importance: the anti-codon, which is responsible for specific mRNA codon recognition, and the 3' end, to which the tRNAs corresponding amino acid is attached (by aminoacyl-tRNA synthetases). tRNAs cope with the degeneracy of the genetic code in two manners: having more than one tRNA (with a specific anti-codon) for a particular amino acid; and 'wobble' base-pairing, i.e. permitting non-standard base-pairing at the 3rd anti-codon position. RNAcentral also lists the same sequence under 37 other names. The record is from RNAcentral. Lineage: Bacteria; Bacillati; Bacillota; Bacilli; Caryophanales; Caryophanaceae.